RNAcentral lists this ribosomal RNA (475 nucleotides) under uncultured organism. Its description in RNAcentral is "partial 16S ribosomal RNA". It matches the Rfam family "Bacterial small subunit ribosomal RNA", at positions 330 to 797 of the family's 1533-position model. The record is from RNAcentral.
CGUACACUCCUACGGGAGGCAGCAGUGGGGAAUAUUGCACAAUGGGCGCAAGCCUGAUGCAGCCAUGCCGCGUGUAUGAAGAAGGCCUUCGGGUUGUAAAGUACUUUCAGCGGGGAGGAAGGCGAUAAGGUUAAUAACCUUGUCGAUUGACGUUACCCGCAGAAGAAGCACCGGCUAACUCCGUGCCAGCAGCCGCGGUAAUACGGAGGGUGCAAGCGUUAAUCGGAAUUACUGGGCGUAAAGCGCACGCAGGCGGUCUGUCAAGUCGGAUGUGAAAUCCCCGGGCUCAACCUGGGAACUGCAUUCGAAACUGGCAGGCUAGAGUCUUGUAGAGGGGGGUAGAAUUCCAGGUGUAGCGGUGAAAUGCGUAGAGAUCUGGAGGAAUACCGGUGGCGAAGGCGGCCCCCUGGACAAAGACUGACGCUCAGGUGCGAAAGCGUGGGGAGCAAACAGGAGUAGAAACCCGUGUAGUCCC